This 67-nucleotide transfer RNA is filed under the name Macropophila clayae. RNAcentral describes it as "tRNA-Trp". The record is from RNAcentral. Lineage: Eukaryota; Metazoa; Arthropoda; Insecta; Psocodea; Boopidae.
UAGUUUCUAGGUUAAAUUUAAACCUUCAUAGUUCAAAUAUGACAAUAUAUAAAAAAUGUGAAACUAA